RNAcentral lists this ribosomal RNA (1343 nucleotides) under uncultured bacterium. Its description in RNAcentral is "16S ribosomal RNA". It matches the Rfam family "Bacterial small subunit ribosomal RNA", at positions 28 to 1378 of the family's 1533-position model. The record is from RNAcentral.
GACGAACGCUGGCGGCGUGCUUAACACAUGCAAGUCGAACGGAAAGGCCCUGCUUUUGUGGGGUGCUCGAGUGGCGAACGGGUGAGUAACACGUGAGUAACCUGCCCUUGACUUUGGGAUAACUUCAGGAAACUGGGGCUAAUACCGGAUAGGAGCUCCUGCUGCAUGGUGGGGGUUGGAAAGUUUCGGCGGUUGGGGAUGGACUCGCGGCUUAUCAGCUUGUUGGUGGGGUAGUGGCUUACCAAGGCUUUGACGGGUAGCCGGCCUGAGAGGGUGACCGGCCACAUUGGGACUGAGAUACGGCCCAGACUCCUACGGGAGGCAGCAGUGGGGAAUAUUGCACAAUGGGCGGAAGCCUGAUGCAGCAACGCCGCGUGCGGGAUGACGGCCUUCGGGUUGUAAACCGCUUUCGCCUGUGACGAAGCGUGAGUGACGGUAAUGGGUAAAGAAGCACCGGCUAACUACGUGCCAGCAGCCGCGGUGAUACGUAGGGUGCGAGCGUUGUCCGGAUUUAUUGGGCGUAAAGGGCUCGUAGGUGGUUGAUCGCGUCGGAAGUGUAAUCUUGGGGCUUAACCCUGAGCGUGCUUUCGAUACGGGUUGACUUGAGGAAGGUAGGGGAGAAUGGAAUUCCUGGUGGAGCGGUGGAAUGCGCAGAUAUCAGGAGGAACACCAGUGGCGAAGGCGGUUCUCUGGGCCUUUCCUGACGCUGAGGAGCGAAAGCGUGGGGAGCGAACAGGCUUAGAUACCCUGGUAGUCCACGCUGUAAACGGUGGGUACUAGGUGUGGGGUCCAUUCCACGGGUUCCGUGCCGUAGCUAACGCUUUAAGUACCCCGCCUGGGGAGUACGGCCGCAAGGCUAAAACUCAAAGGAAUUGGCGGGGCCCCGCACAAGCGGCGGAGCAUGCGGAUUAAUUCGAUGCAACGCGUAGAACCUUACCUGGGUUUGACAUGGAUCGGGAGCGCUCAGAGAUGGGUGUGCCUCUUUUGGGGUCGGUUCACAGGUGGUGCAUGGCUGUCGUCAGCUCGUGUCGUGAGAUGUUGGGUUAAGUCCCGCAACGAGCGCAACCCUUGUUCACUGUUGCCAGCACGUUAUGGUGGGGACUCAGUGGAGACCGCCGGGGUCAACUCGGAGGAAGGUGGGGAUGACGUCAAGUCAUCAUGCCCCUUACGUCCAGGGCUUCACGCAUGCUACAAUGGCUGGUACAGAGAGUGGCGAGCCUGUGAGGGUGAGCGAAUCUCGGAAAGCCGGUCUCAGUUCGGAUUGGGGUCUGCAACUCGACCUCAUGAAGUCGGAGUCGCUAGUAAUCGCAGAUCAGCAACGCUGCGGUGAAUACGUUCCCGGG